UUAGGUUAUUGGCUGACCACCGUUUCAUUUAUGAAAGGGAGGAAAGUCCGGGCAACAUACGGAAGGACAGUUGUUAACGACAACCAAAGGUAACUUUAGGGAAAGUGCCACAGAAACAAUACCGCCUUUAAUUUAUUAGAGGUAAGGGUGAAAAGAGCGAGGUAAGAGCUCGUAUUCUUUACCGGUGACGGCUAAGAAUGGUAAACCCUGUUCGUUGCAAGGAGAUGUGCAUAUAUAGGUAUCCGGCUUAGUGCAUCGAUUAACCGCUUGAUCACAUAGGCAACUAUGUGGCUAGAUAGAUGGUCAGCGAUUCGAUUUAUCGGAUUACAGAACCCGGCUUAUAGGUAACCUAACACC
RNAcentral lists this RNase P RNA (357 nucleotides) under Candidatus Saccharimonadota bacterium. Its description in RNAcentral is "RNase P RNA component class A". It matches the Rfam family "Bacterial RNase P class A". Rfam says of the family: Ribonuclease P (RNase P) is a ubiquitous endoribonuclease, found in archaea, bacteria and eukarya as well as chloroplasts and mitochondria. Its best characterised activity is the generation of mature 5'-ends of tRNAs by cleaving the 5'-leader elements of precursor-tRNAs. The record is from RNAcentral. Lineage: Bacteria; Candidatus Saccharimonadota.